AGAAAAGAUGACCGCCAAACUCCACCAAUUAUAUCCAAUUAUUCACUUUUUUGGAUCACAAUUUAUCUCAAUGUCACAAACUUUUAAAAUACAUUUAAAACUUUCCCGAUUGC
Molecule: long non-coding RNA, 113 nt
Organism: Thalassophryne amazonica
Lineage: Eukaryota; Metazoa; Chordata; Actinopteri; Batrachoidiformes; Batrachoididae
Exons: 3
Source: RefSeq, a predicted model, not a curated record